Molecule: transfer RNA, 72 nt
Filed under: Camelus bactrianus (Bactrian camel)
Lineage: Eukaryota; Metazoa; Chordata; Mammalia; Artiodactyla; Camelidae
Also listed under: 3 other names
Rfam family: tRNA
About the family: Transfer RNA (tRNA) molecules are approximately 80 nucleotides in length. Their secondary structure includes four short double-helical elements and three loops (D, anti-codon, and T loops).
Source: Rfam by way of RNAcentral
GUGGGUAUAGCUCAGUGGUAGAGUACAUGCUUAGCAUGCAUGAGGUCCUGGGUUCAAUCCCCAGUACCUCCA